CAAGAUGAAUUGCUAUUGAAUAAUAUGUUGAGUAAUGAAAAUGAUUGGACACUUCCUGAACUAACUCCUAAGCCAACUCCGAAGAAAAGAGGUAUUCUAUUUCUCAAUCCUGAAGAUAUGCAAGAGGCAAAGAAAUCUAUGAAAGAAAAGGGUAUUAAAGCUGAAGAUGUUAAGAAUUUACCACCUAUUGAAGAAAUACAUGGUCUUGAUAACCCGACACAGGUAGUAAAGGUAAAUUCUCUCUAUAGAUUUAAUGAAGGUGAUAUUCCUCAUUAUAAGUCUGCUAGCCAAUGCUUAGAUGAGUUUGAUAAUUUUAUUGUUAAACAAGAAAACUUCAAUGCUUAUGUUGGUAGACAAUUGAAAAGCAAUGCUUAUAUGAUUGAACACUUGAGUGAU
Molecule: ribosomal RNA, 396 nt
Filed under: Triticum aestivum (bread wheat)
Lineage: Eukaryota; Viridiplantae; Streptophyta; Magnoliopsida; Poales; Poaceae
Description: partial small subunit ribosomal RNA
Source: RNAcentral